RNAcentral lists this ribosomal RNA (482 nucleotides) under uncultured bacterium. RNAcentral describes it as "partial 16S ribosomal RNA". It matches the Rfam family "Bacterial small subunit ribosomal RNA", at positions 30 to 507 of the family's 1533-position model. The record is from RNAcentral.
AUUGAACGCUGGCGGCAUGCCUUACACAUGCAAGUCGAACGGUAACGGGCCUUCGGGUGCCGACGAGUGGCGAACGGGUGAGUAAUACAUCGGAACGUGCCCGAUCGUGGGGGAAAACGAGGCGAAAGCUUUGCUAAUACCGCAUACGAUCUACGGUUGAAAGCAGGGGACCGUAAGGCCUUGCGCGGACGGGGCGGCCGAUGGCAGAUUAGGUAGUUGGUGGGAUAAAAGCUUACCAAGCCGACGAUCUGUAGCUGGUCUGAGAGGAUGAUCAGCCACACUGGGACUGAGACACGGCCCAGACUCCUACGGGAGGCAGCAGUGGGGAAUUUUGGACAAUGGGCGCAAGCCUGAUCCAGCCAUGCCGCGUGCAGGAUGAAGGCCUUCGGGUUGUAAACUGCUUUUGUACGGAACGAAAAGCCUUCUUUUAAUACAGGAGGGUCAUGACGGUACCGUAAGAAUAAGCACCGGCUAACUACGUG